CAGAGGUGGCAAGCGUUGUUCGGAAUUACUGGGCGUAAAGGGCGCGUGGGCGGCCUUCUAAGUCAGACGUGAAAUCCCCAGGCUUAACUUGGGAACUGCGUCUGAUACUGGAGGGCUCGAGUGCGGGAGAGGGAUGUGGAAUUCCAGGUGUAGCGGUGAAAUGCGUAGAUAUCUGGAGGAACACCGGUGGCGAAGGCGGCAUCCUGGACCGACACUGACGCUGAGGCGCGAAAGCUAGGGGAGCAAACGGGAUUAGAUACCCCGGUAGUCCUAGCCCUAAACGAUGAGUGCUUGGUGUGGCGGGUAUCGAUCCCUGCCGUGCCGAAGCUAACGCAUUAAGCACUCCGCCUGGGGAGUACGGUCGCAAGGCUG
This 372-nucleotide ribosomal RNA is filed under the name uncultured organism. RNAcentral's name for it is "bacterial SSU rRNA". It matches the Rfam family "Bacterial small subunit ribosomal RNA", at positions 526 to 896 of the family's 1533-position model. The record is from RNAcentral.